ACGAACGCUGGCGGCAUGCCUAACACAUGCAAGUCGAACGAGACCUUCGGGUCUAGUGGUGCACGGGUGCGUAACGCGUGGGAACCUGCCCUUAGGUUCGGAAUAACUCCCCGAAAGGGGUGCUAAUACCGGAUAAUGUCUUCGGACCAAAGAUUUAUCGCCUUUGGAUGGGCCCGCGUUGGAUUAGCUAGUUGGUAGGGUAAAAGCCUACCAAGGCGACGAUCCAUAGCUGGUCUGAGAGGAUGAUCAGCCACACUGGGACUGAGACACGGCCCAGACUCCUACGGGAGGCAGCAGUGGGGAAUAUUGGACAAUGGGCGAAAGCCUGAUCCAGCAAUGCCGCGUGAGUGAUGAAGGCCUUAGGGUUGUAAAGCUCUUUUACCCGGGAUGAUAAUGACAGUACCGGGAGAAUAAGCUCCGGCUAACUCCGUG
RNAcentral lists this ribosomal RNA (432 nucleotides) under uncultured bacterium. Its description in RNAcentral is "partial 16S ribosomal RNA". It matches the Rfam family "Bacterial small subunit ribosomal RNA", at positions 29 to 507 of the family's 1533-position model. The record is from RNAcentral.